This 86-nucleotide transfer RNA is filed under the name Salmonella enterica subsp. enterica serovar Moscow str. SA20061414. Its description in RNAcentral is "tRNA-Leu". It matches the Rfam family "tRNA". Rfam says of the family: Transfer RNA (tRNA) molecules are approximately 80 nucleotides in length. Their secondary structure includes four short double-helical elements and three loops (D, anti-codon, and T loops). Lineage: Bacteria; Pseudomonadati; Pseudomonadota; Gammaproteobacteria; Enterobacterales; Enterobacteriaceae. The record is from RNAcentral.
GCGGGAGUGGCCGAAAUUGGUAGACGCACCAGAUUUAGGUUCUGGCGCCGCAAGGUGUGCGAGUUCAAGUCUCGCCUCCCGCACCA